Small nuclear RNA from Dromiciops gliroides (monito del monte), 107 nucleotides. NCBI's taxonomy places the organism in Eukaryota, Metazoa, Chordata, Mammalia, Microbiotheria, Microbiotheriidae. The record is from RefSeq and is a predicted model, not a curated record.
GUGCUCACUUUGGCAGAAUAUAUUCUAAAGUUGGGACAAUACAGAGAAGAUUCAUAUGACCUCUGUAUAAAGAUAACAUGCAAAUCUGUAAAGCAUUGUAUAUAUAU